Molecule: transfer RNA, 63 nt
Filed under: Scolytinae sp. BMNH 1040118
Lineage: Eukaryota; Metazoa; Arthropoda; Insecta; Coleoptera; Curculionidae
Description: tRNA-Gly
Source: RNAcentral
ACUUAAAUAGUAUAAACAUUACAUUUAACUUCCAAUUAAAAAAUCUAUCUUAUAGUUUAAGUA